GAUGAACGCUGGCGGCGUGCUUAACACAUGCAAGUCGAACGGUGAAGCCGGAGCUUGCUCUGCUGGCUCAGUGGCGAACGGGUGAGUAACACGUGAGCAAUCUGCCCCUGACUCUGGGAUAAGCGCUGGAAACGGCGCCUAAUACUGGAUACGAGCUGCGAAGGCAUCUUCAGCAGCUGGAAAGAAUUUCGGUCAGGGAUGAGCUCGCGGCCUAUCAGCUUGUUGGUGAGGUAAUGGCACACCAAGGCGUCGACGGGUAGCCGGCCUGAGAGGGUGACCGGCCACAAUGGGACUGAGACACGGCCCAGACUCGUACGGGAGGCAGCAGUGGGGAAUAUUGCACAAUGGGCGAAAGCCUGAUGCAGCAACGCCGCGUGAGGGACGACGGCCUUCGGGUUGUAAACCUCUUUUAGCAGGGAAGAAGCGAAAGUGACGGUACCUGCAGAAAAAGCGCCGGCUAACUACGUG
RNAcentral lists this ribosomal RNA (468 nucleotides) under uncultured bacterium. RNAcentral's name for it is "partial 16S ribosomal RNA". It matches the Rfam family "Bacterial small subunit ribosomal RNA", at positions 28 to 507 of the family's 1533-position model. The record is from RNAcentral.